ACUCCUACGGGAGGCAGCAGUGGGGAAUUUUGGACAAUGGGCGAAAGCCUGAUCCAGCAAUGCCGCGUGUGUGAAGAAGGCCUUCGGGUUGUAAAGCACUUUUGUCCGGAAAGAAAUCCUUGGCUCUAAUACAGUCGGGGGAUGACGGUACCGGAAGAAUAAGCACCGGCUAACUACGUGCCAGCAGCCGCGGUAAUACGUAGGGUGCGAGCGUUAAUCGGAAUUACUGGGCGUAAAGCGUGCGCAGGCGGUUUGCUAAGACCGAUGUGAAAUCCCCGGGCUCAACCUGGGAACUGCAUUGGUGACUGGCAGGCUAGAGUAUGGCAGAGGGGGGUAGAAUUCCACGUGUAGCAGUGAAAUGCGUAGAGAUGUGGAGGAAUACCGAUGGCGAAGGCAGCCCCCUGGGCCAAUACUGACGCUCAUGCACGAAAGCGUGGGGAGCAAACAGGAUUAGAUACCCUAGUAGUCCC
Molecule: ribosomal RNA, 470 nt
Filed under: uncultured organism
Description: partial 16S ribosomal RNA
Rfam family: Bacterial small subunit ribosomal RNA
Source: RNAcentral